NNNNNNNNNNNNNNNNNNNNNNNNNNNNNNNNNNNNNNNNNNNNNNNNNNNNNNNNNNNNNNNNNNUGGGCUGGAGACUUAUACCAUUAGGUAAAUCCCCAAGUAUUCAUACAGAAAGACUCACCCUGCAAGAACAUGCUGUCCCCACUCAGAGAACCUUCUGGGUAUUGCAAAUUUUGCAAAAAAUUCAAAGCAUGCAGGAGAGAGAAGUUUUACAUCACCUCGAACAAUAGCGAGUGGCAAUGGAACACCUGUCUAAUGAACCUGGCUUUCAUUCCAGCGGCAGCCAUAGCAGCGAAACUUUUCAAGAUGACUUCCUAAAAUGAUGUUUGCUGAUGUUGCUUAUGAUUUUGGUGAUAAAUGAAGAAAACUUGUAUUUUUCUGGGAAGAAUUAUCCUCUAACUCUUGGAUUAAGAGCUGUCACUGACUGGGGAAUUGGCAGGAGGCAGAAGAACAAGCCUGGAAGUCAACGAUCCAGAGACGCUUCCCACCUCAUAAGAAGUCACAGAACAAAGCAAUGGUUGCUUAGAGUGAUGGAUCCAAUGCACAUGUAGUUAUGGAAAUGACAGAGAAAAUUCCAUAUGUCCCCCAUGAGAAAAUACUUCUCUUCUCAAAGGUGAGCUCAAGGACAGAGGUCCUGUCUUAAAACCUUCACAUCUCUGGCACCUAACUGUAAACAAAUGCCUCCUGUUGACCAGGACUGCGGCAAGGGACUUACCAGUUCUCACUGAAUUCCUCUCACAGCCUGAGAGGUAGGCAGCAUUGGACUCACUGAAGAGCCACAUAUUUCUGUGUGGUUAAAUAGAAAGUGGCAGAAUGAGAAGACAUGUUCAGGUCUGUUUGAAUACAAGGCCUUAACAGGUAUGAGGCAGGCCAGCAUUGUGGGCUCUGGAGCAAGGCUGCCUGAGCUGGAAUCCUGACUCUGUCAUUCACUAGCUGUGUGACCUUAGGCCAGUCACUUCAUCUUUCUGCUUCUCCAUCCCCAAGGUGUAAAAUGGGUAUGAUAAUCCUUGCCUCAUAGAGCUGAUACCAGCUUAAAGAAGCAUACAAUAUGCCUGGCAAAUACCAAUGGUUUGAGAACUUUUAGCUAAAAUAACUAUUACUAGGAUUAUUGCAAUACCAUCCUUCUCUAAGGUUUUUAUAUUUUAGUCUGAGGGUACUGGACUUAAUAAAUGGGAGGCAGCUAGAACUCUGAAAACAGAACAUGCAGAAUAUCAAAGAUAAAAUUACUGCUUGGCCUCCCCUAUUAACCCUUAAUAUCUUUCCUUUAAUUAUGUUUGGGUCUUGCUCUGUUUCAUUUGAGUCCUUCCCUAGAAAGAGACAGAAUGCACUAAAACUCUUUCUGGGUAAUAGUUUUGACACUAAACAAUAUGUCUGCCUAUAAGAAGUCAUAAUGCAUGGAAAAUUUCAUUUUAAGAGUAUAACUGAUCCACCAAAGGAAAAGCACAGCAGCGAUACCUAUUUGUUAACAUUUUUUGGAUUUCUGUUUCCCAAGAUAAAUACAUAACUCUGAAUAUUUUAAUCCAUUAAUAUUUUAAUUUUAUAAGAUGCUGAAUAAAUUAUGUAUUUUCUAUACAGAGAAGCUUGUAGAAUCCAAUACAUUCAAUUUAAUUUUUUUCCCUUAAGUAAUGGUUGGGUAAGAUUAAAAUGAAAAUGUCCUUUUCUUUUAGGAAAAGUAGAAAUUUAUACUUAUUGUAACUUCGUGCUUGGCCGAAUUAAUUUUGUCCUUCAAGUUCACUACUCAGUGGUAAAUCUAGAGACACAUGGUGUUGAUCAUUUCUUUUAGGAUUUACAACUGUUCUGUGGGCGUGGUUGGGUAUUAAGAGAAUGUGGGGGCAGUGAGAUAGGUUGCUAUAUUUACAUAUUUUGUUUCUUUCAUUUGAAACACAUUUUUAGAAGUGUACAGAUAUGUUGUACUUUUACAAGAUAUGAAAGGUAUUCUUUAUAUCCAGAAAAAGUAUGUUGGGGAAAAUCAGAACCAGGUAUUGCUUUUUAAAAUGAGUUUUAGAAAUUUCCUUGUGGCUCCAGUAGGUUUCUCCAUUCUAAAGUUACUCCUCUUCCUCCUGGAAGAAAGGAAAUCAAUAUGCACAGUCCAUACUUAAUGGGUGGGAUGUUAGACUUGACCUC
Long non-coding RNA from Mustela putorius furo (domestic ferret), 2127 nucleotides. The record is from Ensembl. NCBI's taxonomy places the organism in Eukaryota, Metazoa, Chordata, Mammalia, Carnivora, Mustelidae.